This 253-nucleotide ribosomal RNA is filed under the name uncultured bacterium. RNAcentral's name for it is "partial 16S ribosomal RNA". It matches the Rfam family "Bacterial small subunit ribosomal RNA", at positions 524 to 776 of the family's 1533-position model. The record is from RNAcentral.
UACGGAGGGUGCAAGCGUUAUCCGGAUUUACUGGGCGUAAAGGGUGCGCAGGCGGUUAUGUAAGUCAGUGGUGAAAUCUCCGGGCUUAACCCGGAAACUGCCGUUGAUACUAUAUAUCUUGAAUGCUGUGGAGGUAAGCAGAAUAUGUCAUGUAGCGGUGAAAUGCUUAGAGAUGACAUAGAAUACCUAUUGCGAAGGCAGCUUACUACGCAGAUAUUGACGCUCAUGCACGAAAGCGUGGGGAUCAAACAGG